This 229-nucleotide ribosomal RNA is filed under the name uncultured bacterium. Its description in RNAcentral is "partial 16S ribosomal RNA". It matches the Rfam family "Bacterial small subunit ribosomal RNA", at positions 568 to 796 of the family's 1533-position model. The record is from RNAcentral.
UGCGUAGGCGGGCUAAUAAGUCAGUGGUGAAAUCUCUCGGCUCAACCGGGAAACUGCCAUUGAUACUGUUAGUCUUGAGUUCGGUUGAGGUAGGCGGAAUGUGUAAUGUAGCGGUGAAAUGCUUAGAUAUUACACAGAACACCAAUUGCGUAGGCAGCUUACUAGACCGACACUGACGCUGAGGCACGAAAGCGUGGGGAGCGAACAGGAUUAGAUAACCUGGUAGUCC